RNAcentral lists this ribosomal RNA (240 nucleotides) under uncultured Lactococcus sp. RNAcentral describes it as "partial 16S ribosomal RNA". It matches the Rfam family "Bacterial small subunit ribosomal RNA", at positions 1030 to 1271 of the family's 1533-position model. The record is from RNAcentral. Lineage: Bacteria; Bacillati; Bacillota; Bacilli; Lactobacillales; Streptococcaceae.
GGAUACAGGUGGUGCAUGGUUGUCGUCAGCUCGUGUCGUGAGAUGUUGGGUUAAGUCCCGCAACGAGCGCAACCCUUAUUACUAGUUGCCAUCAUUAAGUUGGGCACUCUAGUGAGACUGCCGGUGAUAAACCGGAGGAAGGUGGGGAUGACGUCAAAUCAUCAUGCCCCUUAUGACCUGGGCUACACACGUGCUACAAUGGAUGGUACAACGAGUCGCCCACCCGCGAGGGUGCGCUAA